ACCCUUCUUCUCUCUCCGCUUUUGACGUUUUCCCUUUCACAGAGAGCCCUGCUUUAAGCUAAUCCCUAUUUUCUUCAAGCUUCCAGUGAAAUAUUCUGAUUUACUCCUGCCGAGGCCAUUGAAAGAAGUUUUCAGGAAGAGCCCGGGGACAUAUUGACUAUUACAAACUUCUCCACAACGAGCCGCUUCCUUGAUUCCCUUGACAGGUAUUGCUUUUCUUAUAAGUUGCGAUGUAUGUGAGGAGAAUAAAGACUGAUGGUAAAACAUGGAGUCUUGUAUCUCAACGUGGCAAACAUUUGAUUAGUUCUUACUACCGCAACUGUGCUCCUACUCAAACUUCAAGCUCUGCACCAAUUCUUGAGAGCUGCACGUUUCAAGGUACCUUGAAUAGAAGACAUCUGCUAGAUACUUUCAAGUCAACAAGUAUUGGUUAUGGGAGAACACAUAUAAGGUUGCUUAGAAGGUCAGAUGUCUGUUUAAGUUGUAGCCAGUUGAGGUUUUAUAGCUCUGAAGGUGAUGGAAGAAAUGCAAGUGAGGAUAAACAUGCACGCACAAUAGAACAACCUAGCUCUGACAAGGCAAAGACUUGGAAACAAAAAGUUGGUGAACAGGUGAGACAUUGUGAUGGACAUGCUGAACUUGGUGAGCUAGAACAAAAGGAAUGGCUUUGCAAUGAAAAGCUGUCAAUUGAUAGUAAGAAGAAGGAGUCACCCUUUCUGCCUAGAAGAGAAAGAUUUAAAAAUGAGUUUUUAAGGCGGAUUGUUCCUUGGGAGAAGAUAGCUGUAUCAUGGGACACCUUUCCUUAUUAUGUCCAUGAACACACUAAGAGCCUCCUGGUGGAAUGUGCCGCCUCACAUCUAAAGCAUAGAAAACUUACUAUGGAUUAUGGUGGCCACUUAAAUUCGUCAAGUGGGAGAAUUAUGCUUCAGAGUAUUCCGGGCACUGAACUUUAUCGAGAAAGAUUUGUCUGAGCAGUUGCUAAAGAUUUGAAAGUCCCACUGUUAGUUCUUGAUAACAGCAUUCUAGCUUCCUAUGAUUUUGGGGAAGAUUGCUCAUCUGAAAGUGAAUCAGAUGAGGAUGCAGAAUCAGCUGAAGAGUAUGCUUCAGAGUCUGAAGCGGAUGAUGCGACUGAUGCAGCUAAUGAGGAGGAAUGGGCAAGCAGUGGAGAGGCAAGGUCUGAAGCUAGUGAUGACGAAAGAGAUGUUCAGGCAUCUGCUGAAGCCCUAAAGAAACUUGUUCCUUACAAUCUUGAAGACUUUGAGAAGAGAGUAUCAGGAGAAAGUGAUGAUUCUUCUGAAUCCCCAUCAUCAGAAGCUGUUGAUAGUUCAGAAAAUACCAAACGGCCAUUUAGAAAAGGCGAUCGAGUAAAAUACGCUGGACCUUCUGUUAUUGUUGAAGCUGAUAACAGAUGGUACAUGCACUUGGCUGAUCCGAAAGACUAGUCAACUAAAAGGGCCUUGGAAUUGACCACAUGGACCGCCCCAAGAAAAUAACUGGAUCAAGAAAGCACAAGAGAUACCUAGUACAGAGCGACCUAGGAGUUUAAUAAGUAUUGGGCUUAGUAUUCAUAAUGUAAUAAGGAUUGUUUACUAUUCAUAAUGUAACAAUAACUCCCAAUAUGAUGCAGUCUAAGAUUUCUAUUCCUUGUAUGGCUCCUAGCUCAAAAUAUGUAUAAAUAAACCCCCAUACAUGGGAAGAAGGGGAAGCAAUUUUUACA
Ipomoea triloba (trilobed morning glory) is the source of this 1717-nucleotide long non-coding RNA. RefSeq lists it as uncharacterized. NCBI's taxonomy places the organism in Eukaryota, Viridiplantae, Streptophyta, Magnoliopsida, Solanales, Convolvulaceae. The record is from RefSeq and is a predicted model, not a curated record. The transcript has 8 exons.